AAGGACGACCACACCACCCUGAAAGCACCUGAUCUCGUCAGAUCUCAGAAACUAAGCACUGUUGGUCCUGGCCAGUACUUGGGUGGGAGACCUCCUGGGAAUCCCAGGUGCUGCAAGCU
This is a ribosomal RNA of Scleropages formosus (Asian bonytongue), 119 nucleotides long. The record is from Ensembl. NCBI's taxonomy places the organism in Eukaryota, Metazoa, Chordata, Actinopteri, Osteoglossiformes, Osteoglossidae.